CCUACGGGUGGCAGCAGUGAGGAAUAUUGGUCAAUGGACGAGAGUCUGAACCAGCCAAGUAGCGUGAAGGAUGACUGCCCUAUGGGUUGUAAACUUCUUUUAUAUGGGAAUAACAUGUUCCACGUGUGGGCUUUCGUAUGUACCCUAUGAAUAAGGAUCGGCUAACUCCGUGCCAGCCGCCGCGGUAAUACGGAGGAUCCGUGCGUUAACCGGAUUUUUUGGGUUUAAAGGGAGCGUAGGUCGGUUGUUAAGUCAGUUGUGAAAGUUUGCGGCUCAACCGUAAAAUUGCAGUUGAAACUGGCAGUCUUGAGUACGGUAGAGGUGGGCGGAAUUCGUGGUGUAGCGGUGAAAUGCUUAGAUAUCACGAAGAACCCCGAUUGCGAAGGCAGCAUACCGGCGCCCAACUGACGCUGAGGCACGAAAGUGCGGGUAUCGAACAGGAUUAGAUACCCUUGUAGUC
This 460-nucleotide ribosomal RNA is filed under the name uncultured bacterium. RNAcentral describes it as "partial 16S ribosomal RNA". It matches the Rfam family "Bacterial small subunit ribosomal RNA", at positions 338 to 795 of the family's 1533-position model. The record is from RNAcentral.